This 101-nucleotide Y RNA is filed under the name Microcebus murinus (gray mouse lemur). Its description in RNAcentral is "Y RNA (ENSMICG00000047737.1)". It matches the Rfam family "Y RNA". From Rfam's summary of the family: Y RNAs are components of the Ro ribonucleoprotein particle (Ro RNP), in association with Ro60 and La proteins. The Y RNAs and Ro60 and La proteins are well conserved, but the function of the Ro RNP is not known. In humans the RNA component can be one of four small RNAs -- hY1, hY3, hY4 and hY5. The record is from Rfam by way of RNAcentral. Lineage: Eukaryota; Metazoa; Chordata; Mammalia; Primates; Cheirogaleidae.
GGCUGGUCUGAGUACAGUAGUGUUUACAACUACUUGAUCACAACCAGUUACAGAUUUCUUUGUUCCUUCUCCACUCCCAUUGCUUUACUGACUAGCCUUUA